RNAcentral lists this ribosomal RNA (730 nucleotides) under uncultured archaeon. RNAcentral describes it as "bacterial SSU rRNA". It matches the Rfam family "Archaeal small subunit ribosomal RNA", at positions 106 to 839 of the family's 1478-position model. The record is from RNAcentral.
AACUGCCCAAGGGUCUGGGAUAACCCCGGGAAACUGAGGGUAAUACCCCAUAGGUCUGAUAUGCUGGAAUGCUUUCAGGCCGAAAACUCCGGUGCCUUAGGAUUGGUCUGCGGUCUAUCAGGCUGUAGUGGGUGUAACGGACCCACUAGCCCGUGACGGAUAUGGGCCUUGAGAGAGGGAGCCCAGAGAUGGACUCUGAGACAUGAGUCCAGGCCCUACGGGGCGCAGCAGUCGCGAAAACUUCGCAAUGGGGGCAACCCCGACGAGGGAAUUCCAAGUGCCAGCACUUUGUGUUGGCUGUUCUUCUGUCUAAAAAACAGGAGGAGUAAGGGGCGGGUAAGACGGGUGCCAGCCGCCGCGGUAAUACCCGCGCCCCAAGUGGUGGUCGAUAUUAUUGAGCCUAAAACGUCCGUAGCCGGUCUUCUAAAUCCUUGGGUAAAUCGGGCAGCUUAACUGUCCGAAUUCCGGGGAGACUGGGAGACUUGGGACCGGGAGAGGUCAGAGGUACUUCUGGGGUAGGGGUAAAAUCCUGUAAUCCUGGAAGGACCACCGGUGGCGAAGGCGUCUGACUAAGAACGGAUCCGACGGUGAGGGACGAAGCCCUGGGGCGCAAACGGGAUUAGAUACCCCGGUAGUCCAGGGUGUAAACGCUGCGGGCUUGGUGUUGGGGGUCCUUAGUGGGCGCCCAGUGCCGGAGAGAAGUUGUUAAGCCUGCUGCUUGGGAUAUUCC